RNAcentral lists this transfer RNA (64 nucleotides) under Cavia porcellus (domestic guinea pig). It matches the Rfam family "tRNA", at positions 1 to 62 of the family's 71-position model. Rfam says of the family: Transfer RNA (tRNA) molecules are approximately 80 nucleotides in length. Their secondary structure includes four short double-helical elements and three loops (D, anti-codon, and T loops). Lineage: Eukaryota; Metazoa; Chordata; Mammalia; Rodentia; Caviidae. The record is from Rfam by way of RNAcentral.
GGGGAUUUAGCUCAGUGGCAUAAGCGCCUGCCUGGGAAGCAGGAGGUCGUGAGUUUGAUCCCCA